GCAUUUCAACACAUCAAUCUGUAUCUAAUGAUUGCCCACCUGAAAGGAUGAUUAUACGUUGAAAUCAUUGCAUUGUUUUUUCGUGAAUUUAUAAUGUUGAUUUUUUGUUUGAGUUUCAGCAUGUGAUUGACCUAUCAAGAAGAGAAACCGUGGUGUGCCUCAUUGGUGGAAUGAAGGUGGAAGCUGACAGAGACGAGUCUUCCACAUAUGCUGUCAUGCUUGCUUCAGAUGUUCCACAAAGAUAAAAAAUUGUGGGACUCUCAAGAAGGGAAUGUGGUUAAGUGAGCUUCAUUGCUUGACGAACUUAGGUCCAACGCUUGCAGUGGGAGGAUGGAAUUCUGAAGAAGGCUUAGUUGUAACUUGUAAGUUAUGUAGGAUUUGUUGUGAAUAAUUGAAAUUCAG
Long non-coding RNA from Pyrus x bretschneideri (Chinese white pear), 402 nucleotides. RefSeq lists it as uncharacterized. The record is from RefSeq and is a predicted model, not a curated record. NCBI's taxonomy places the organism in Eukaryota, Viridiplantae, Streptophyta, Magnoliopsida, Rosales, Rosaceae. The transcript is spliced from 3 exons.